This 492-nucleotide ribosomal RNA is filed under the name uncultured bacterium. RNAcentral's name for it is "partial 16S ribosomal RNA". It matches the Rfam family "Bacterial small subunit ribosomal RNA", at positions 29 to 507 of the family's 1533-position model. The record is from RNAcentral.
AGUGAACGCUGGCGGUAGGCCUAACACAUGCAAGUCGAACGGCAGCACAGUAAGAGCUUGCUCUUACGGGUGGCGAGUGGCGGACGGGUGAGGAAUACAUCGGAAUCUACUUUUUCGUGGGGGAUAACGUAGGGAAACUUACGCUAAUACCGCAUACGACCUACGGGUGAAAGCAGGGGAUCUUCGGACCUUGCGCGAUUGAAUGAGCCGAUGUCGGAUUAGCUAGUUGGCGGGGUAAAGGCCCACCCAGGCGACGAUCCGUAGCUGGUCAGAGAGGAGGGUCGGCCACAUUGGAACUGAGACACGGUCAAGACUCCUAAGGGAGGCAGCAGUGGGGAAUAUUGGACAAUGGGCGCAAGCCUGAUCCAGCCAUACCGCGUGGGUGAAGAAGGCCUUCGGGUUGUAAAGCCCUUUUGUUGGGAAAGAAAAGCAGCAGGUUAAUACCCCGCUGUUCUGACGGUACCCAAAGAAUAAGCACCGGCUAACUUCGUG